CAGCCGCCGCGGUAAUACGUAGGGGGCGAGCGUUGUCCGGAUUUACUGGGCGUAAAGGGUGAGUAGGCGGUUAUGUAUGUCAGGUGUAAAAGGCGUAGGCUUAACUUACGUUAGCACUUGAAACUGCAUAACUUGAGUGCAGGAGAGGUAAGCGGAAUUCCUAGUGUAGCGGUGAAAUGCGUAGAUAUUAGGAGGAACACCAGUGGCGAAGGCGGCUUACUGGACUGUAACUGACGCUGAGUCACGAAAGCGUGGGUAGCAAACAGGAUUAGAUACCCUGGUAGUCCACGCCGUAAACGAUGAGUGCUAGGUGUUGGGUAGCGAUAUUCAGUGCCGAAGUAAACACAAUAAGCACUCCGCCUGGGGAGUACGUACGCAAGUAUGAAACUCAAAGGAAUUGACGGGGACCCGCACAAGCAGCGGAGCAUGUGGUUUAAUUCGAAGCAACGCGAAGAACCUUACCAAGGCUUGACAUCCCCUUGACCGGCACAGAGAUGUGCCCUCUCCUUCGGGAGCAAGGGUGACAGGAGGUGCAUGGCC
Molecule: ribosomal RNA, 540 nt
Filed under: uncultured archaeon
Lineage: Archaea
Description: bacterial SSU rRNA
Rfam family: Bacterial small subunit ribosomal RNA
Source: RNAcentral